This 2153-nucleotide long non-coding RNA is filed under the name Sinocyclocheilus grahami. RNAcentral describes it as "lncRNA (ENSSGRG00000051947.1)". The record is from RNAcentral. Lineage: Eukaryota; Metazoa; Chordata; Actinopteri; Cypriniformes; Cyprinidae.
UUUGUUGCUAUUGAAGCAGGAGUGCAGAACAGAUACUUCCGUCAAUGCACACCUGACUGAAUCACCUGAACGUCCACCCAAUCACACAACCUAAUUAAUAUUCAUGAGCCAAGCAUUGCGCUUAUUCGCCAACUGCCUAUCGCUCACGUACAAGCGUCUGCCGUUCAGCCAAUCAGAUAGUCCGACUGGGCGAACGUCAGGUUGCGUAAUUAAUAUUCAUGACACAAACCCUUGCAGCUCUUUGCUGAAAACACAGCUCUUACACAAGCGUCGAUAAGAGAGUUUAAUAACUAGUUCAUCAUGGACUUCGAUCUGAGCGCAGGUAAACUGCUGCAAAGCUGAUUUAGCUUUUUAUUUUUUAAUUAAAUCAAGAAACACUAUAGUUGAAUGUAAACGAAUGCGGUUUUUGUUCACUCUCUCUGCUUUUCCAGCUGUUGGAGAUGAUCAGGUGAAGAAGUCGGAGGGCAAACAGGUGGAAGGUAUCUUUGGGUUUGGAAAGAAGGAUAAAGACAAAGAAAAGGGCAAGGAAAAGAGCAAAGACAAGAGUGAUUCUAAGCAUAAGGAUGAACACAAGAAGCACAAAGAUAAAGAACAUAAAGACAAAGGCAAGAAGAAGAAGAAAGACAAGGAACACAAGAAGAAGGGCGGUGGCAAGUCCUCCUCUUCCUCCAGCGAUUCGGACUGAAGCAAGAUUCAUCAGAUACCUCCAGAAACAUAAUGUAAAAAUCUUUUAUUGUAUGAUUUAUAUGACAAUCUCUUGAAGUUUUCAUCAAGUUAUUGAGCUGUGAUUCCAAACUUCCUCAAGGUGGCGCUACCUACAUGUCAAAUCUUCAGUGAAACACUGGAAUAAAGAGACUUGUCUGCUAUUUUUGUAAAACUGUUUGCUGGUUUAAUAAAUUCUGAUGUUUGAAAUAGUUUUAUCCAUUUAGUCUCAUACUGGCUUUCAGUGGUUGCUGGUUAGUGGGCUAUUAGUGUUUUGAUAAAUCUUGGCCGGUUUGACGUACACACAAGUCAUAUUUGAUCAAUGUAUGUGUGUAACAAUCAAAUUAAGGCAUUCAGCACAAAUGAAUUGAUAUGUAUUGUCAAAACAAGGCUUCGUGUAGUAACUUGGUUAAUUCACCAUGACAAAAGUCAGUAGUCAACACGACAGUAUCUUUGUCUAAACAGCACGCUUCUGCAAAUGCAUGGUUGAUUUGGAAGGUUUCAGCACGAUCUGUUUGCUUAUUCAUCUACGUUUGAGUACGGCACAGAUAAUUCAUCUGAACAGCAGGACGAAACGCAGGCUGCUUCCAAACACUGUUUUGGACGCUCUUUGCUGGGCUGAAGACAACUGCAUGCCAGAGAUAAGAGAACCGGGCGAUGGUUGCCCAGAGGCGGAAGAGAGGGAGAUGUCUCUCUGUCCAUCAGACUGAGACAGUCUUUCUCUCUUAUUCGGUGCCAAACGCCUGCAGGAUAGAUGCAAAGCACAGUGUAGCAUUUUUUUUCCCAGCACCACCCCGUCGAGCUUUCACAUGCAUAUUUCAUCAAACACACUGAAGAUGCUGAAAGUUGAAUCCGGGGGAAAGUUGGCUUGUUUCGGCCGUUUGAGAUGUCCGGGUCAGAGAUCUGAACAUCUGCUGCUCUGCACGUUUCUCACAGAAGAGGGGUGUAAAUGCAGAGGCGUUUGUUUCAGAGGUUACUUAGCUGGAGUUUGAGGACAAAUUGCUGCCAAAAGUAACUAAAUCGGACAAAGGUUAGUGGGCUAUUAGUGUUUUGAUAAAUCUUGGCCGGUUUGACGUACACACACAAGUCAUAUUUGAUCAAUGUAUGUGUGUAACAAUCAAAUUAAGGCAUUCAGCACAAAUGAAUUGAUAUGUAUUGUCAAAACAAGGCUUCGUGUAGUAACUUGGUUAAUUCACCAUGACAAAAGUCAGUAGUCAACACGACAGUAUCUUUGUCUAAACAGCACGCUUCUGCAAAUGCAUGGUUGAUUUGGAAGGUUUCAGCACGAUCUGUUUGCUUAUUCAUCUACGUUUGAGUACGGCACAGAUAAUUCAUCUGAACAGCAGGACGAAACGCAGGCUGCUUCCAAACACUGUUUUGGACGCUCUUUGCUGGGCUGAAGACAACUGCAUGCCAGAGAUAAGAGAACCGGGCGAUGGUUGCCCAGAGGC